GGCCGUUGAAUUGGUGAAACAUAAUAUACCAACUAAACAUGUAGAAGCUUAAGUGGCGAUAUCCUUGGACGUGGGUUCAACUCCCACCGUCUCCA
This 95-nucleotide transfer RNA is filed under the name Cerasibacillus quisquiliarum. RNAcentral's name for it is "tRNA-Trp". It matches the Rfam family "transfer-messenger RNA", at positions 276 to 371 of the family's 374-position model. From Rfam's summary of the family: Bacterial tmRNA, also known as 10Sa RNA or SsrA, is named for its dual tRNA and mRNA-like properties. Its role is to liberate the mRNA from a stalled ribosome. The record is from RNAcentral. Lineage: Bacteria; Bacillati; Bacillota; Bacilli; Caryophanales; Bacillaceae.